RNAcentral lists this ribosomal RNA (392 nucleotides) under uncultured bacterium. RNAcentral describes it as "partial 16S ribosomal RNA". It matches the Rfam family "Bacterial small subunit ribosomal RNA", at positions 523 to 918 of the family's 1533-position model. The record is from RNAcentral.
AUACGGAGGAUCCGAGCGUUAUCCGGAUUUAUUGGGUUUAAAGGGUGCGCAGGCGGCCAUUUAAGUCAGCGGUUAAAUCGUGGGGCUCAACCCCAUUCUGCCGUUGAUACUGGGUGGCUUGAUUGCGGUCGAGGUUGGCGGAAUUCGUUGUGUAGCGGUGAAAUGCAUAGAUAUGACGAAGAACACCGAUUGCGUAGGCAGCUGACCAGACCGCAAAUGACGCUCAUGCACGAAAGUGCGGGGAUCGAACAGGAUUAGAUACCCUGGUAGUCCGCACAGUAAACGAUGAGUGCUUGUUUUCGGCGAUAUAAUGUCGGAGGCAAAGCGAAAGCGAUAAGUAUUCCACCUGGGGAGUACGCCGGCAACGGUGAAACUCAAAGGAAUUGACGGGG